Long non-coding RNA from Oncorhynchus keta (chum salmon), 542 nucleotides. RefSeq lists it as uncharacterized. The record is from RefSeq and is a predicted model, not a curated record. The transcript is spliced from 3 exons. NCBI's taxonomy places the organism in Eukaryota, Metazoa, Chordata, Actinopteri, Salmoniformes, Salmonidae.
CUGUAACUGAAAGCAGGUACAGCCUCAGUGUUCACAGUAAAACUGUAACUUAGUGGGUACAGCCUCAGUGUUCACAGUAAAACUGUAACUGAAAGCAGGUACAGCCUCAGUGUUCACAGUAAAACUGUAACUUAGUGGGUACAGCCUCAGUGUUCACAGUAAAACUGUAACUUAGUGGGUACAGCCUCAGUGUUCACAGUAAAACUGUAACUUAAAGCAGGUACAGCCUCAGUGUUCACAGUAAAACUGUAACUUAGUGGGUACAGCCUCAGUGUUCACAGUAAAACUGUAACUUAGUGGGUACAGCCUCAGUGUUCACAGUAAAACUGUAACUUAGUGGGUACAGCCUCAGUGUUCACAGUAAAACUGUAACUUAGUGGGUACAGCCUCAGUGUUCACAGUAAAACUGUAACUUAGUGGGUACAGCCUCAGUGUUCACAGUAAAACUGUAACUUAGUGGGUACAGCCUCAGUGUUCACAGUAAAACUGUAACUUAAAGCAGGUACAGCCUCAGUGUUCACAGUAAAACUGUAACUUAGUGG